CUAUUACUCCAUUCGUCCGAAAAUACUUGUCAUAAAAAUGGAUACAAAUGAAUAUAUGUAGAACUAAAAUACAUUUAGAUACAUCCAUUUUUCGAACAAGUAUUUCUGAACGGAGGGAGUACACA
This is a non-coding RNA of Triticum urartu, 125 nucleotides long. The record is from Rfam. NCBI's taxonomy places the organism in Eukaryota, Viridiplantae, Streptophyta, Magnoliopsida, Poales, Poaceae.